RNAcentral lists this ribosomal RNA (367 nucleotides) under Rhytisma acerinum. Its description in RNAcentral is "partial large subunit ribosomal RNA". It matches the Rfam family "Eukaryotic large subunit ribosomal RNA", at positions 421 to 805 of the family's 3401-position model. The record is from RNAcentral. Lineage: Eukaryota; Fungi; Ascomycota; Leotiomycetes; Rhytismatales; Rhytismataceae.
GCUGUUGCAAUCAGCCUUGCGCGGCGUCGAUCAUCGCGGGCUCGCGCCGGGUGCACUCGGCGCCGCUCAGGCCAGCAUCAGUUUCGGCGGCGGGAUAAAGGCCCGGGGAACGUGGGUGGCUUCGGCCUCCGUUAUAGCACCGGGUGCCAUGCCGCCCGCCGGGACUGAGGACCGCGCUUCGGCUAGGAUGCUGGCGUAAUGGUUGCAAGCGAACCGUCUUGAAACACGGACCAAGGAGUAGAACAACUGUGCGAGUGUUUGGGCGAUCAAACCCAUACGCGCAAUGAAAGUGAAUGGAGGUGAGAGAAUUCAGGGUGCAUCAUCGACCGGUCCUGAUGUAUUCGGAUGGAUCUGAGUAAGAGCAUAA